GUGAGCUGGAGACAAUGAUCACCAUGGAGAUGGCCACCCCCACCCUGUCCAGUUCGGUCCUAAGAACUGCCCCCAUGAACUAGACAGUCAUCGCUGCUUGCCACCGUGCCUACCUAGUGCCUCCACUAACGCCCAAAAGAGCCUUUUGAGAUCCGUGCUAUUAUAAGUCCCAUUUUAUAGAUGGGGGACUUGUCCGAGGUCACAUAACUCGUGACAGCGGAGCAGAGAUCUGAUGGGGAGUCAGAUCUCUCUGACAUCACUGUGCUGCACUGCUGGAUGUGACAGCUUGACGGGACACAGAGAGGCUGCUCUGGGAGACCAGUGAGCCAAGCUGGUCAGGAUGAGACAAUGUAUUUGUGCAAGGCCUUUAAGGGUGAAGAAACAGAGGCGGAAAGAGACAAGCAAGUAGCUUUCCAAAGGCAAGGUGAUGGGCCUGGGACUGUGACCCAGCAGUGGUCCAGGUGUGUUCGCAGAGGUUUCAGCAAACCUGCCAGGGCAUCCCCUGGCUCAGGAGACCUUGAACCACGGAUUGAAGCUGAACAGACCCAACUGUGGAACUAUCUCUUCCUCCUCUGGGGACUGGACGACCUUAAGAAUUUAAGGAACUCAGAAGAGACCCAUGAGCCCAGGGUAGGAAUGGCUGCAGCACUCACCUGCAGCACAUGCUCCUUGCUGCCAGGAGCAGAGGAGAUCUGGUACUUGCUGGAGCUGCUGAGGUCUCCUUUGGUGUUCUGCCAGUGCACUUCGGGUCUGGGCUCCCCACAGACCACCGCCCGAAAGAUGGCAUUCUUUCCUGUGGCAGGAAGAAGCAGCUUGGGGGUAGAGUGGCAAUAGAUGUUAUUUAGACUUAAACUUACAUCAUCCUCCCUGUGGUUCCCAAAAGAAGUACCCGGCUUUGAGCCCCUUGACUUGGGACUCAUCAUGUCAGGUGGAAAGUUUCCAGGUGCCCAGAAGCAGUGCUGGCCUGAGGUCAACCAUGCAGGGCCUGGUGUCCCCAGGAGAAAGAUGUGGUGUGCCGUCCAUGGUCACGAAGGGAGAUCUUGGAAAGCAAUGGCUGCUGGUACUCAAAGGAGCUGGUCCUGAGACAUAGGACUCCAGCCUCAGAGAAGACCCGAAGUUCCAUGCAGGGCAAGAUGGCGUGGGAGCUACUUGACCCUCACAGAGCUCAGCUGCCUCCCGCCAGGGACAUCUCAGCAGAAGAAUCUGAAGGUCCCAGGGCCCUCCCUUGUGUUCAUGACCUUGUUUCAUAUUUAGAAAAGUAAAAUAUCAUACCAUUGUUUUUCUUA
Molecule: non-coding RNA, 1286 nt
Organism: Peromyscus maniculatus bairdii (prairie deer mouse)
Lineage: Eukaryota; Metazoa; Chordata; Mammalia; Rodentia; Cricetidae
Source: RefSeq, a predicted model, not a curated record